ACGGCUCAGUAACACGUAGUCAACAUGCCCAGGGGACGUGGAUAACCUCGGGAAACUGAGGAUAAACCACGAUAAGUCACUACUUCUGGAAUGGGUAAUGACUCAAAUCUACAUGGCCCCUGGAUUGGACUGCGGCCGAUCAGGCUGUUGGUGAGGUAAUGGCCCACCAAACCUGUAACCGGUACGGGCUCUGAGAGGAGGAGCCCGGAGAUGGGCACUGAGACAAGGGCCCAGGCCCUAUGGGGCGCAGCAGGCGCGAAACCUCUGCAAUAGGCGAAAGCCUGACAGGGUUACUCUGAGUGAUUUCCGUUAAGGAGAUCUUUUGGCACCUCUAAAAAUGGUGCAGAAUAAGGGGUGGGCAAGUCUGGUGUCAGCCGCCGCGGUAAUACCAGCACCCCGAGUGGUCGGGACGUUUAUUGGGCCUAAAGCAUCCGUAGCCGGUUCUACAAGUCUUCCGUUAAAUCCACCUGCUUAACAGAUGGGCUGCGGAAGAUACUAUAGAGCUAGGAGGCGGGGGAGGCAAGCGGUACUCGAUGGGUAGGGGUAAAAUCCGUUGAUCCAUUGAAGACCACCAGUGGCGAAGGCGGCUUGCCAGAACGCGCUCGACGGUGAGGGAUGAAAGCUGGGGGAGCAAACCGGAUUAGAUACCCGGGUAGUCCCAGCUGUAAACGAUGCAGACUCGGUGAUGAGUUGGCUUUAUGCCAACUCAGUGCCGCAGGGAAGCCGUUAAGUUUGCCGCCUGGGGAGUACGGUCGCAAGACUGAAACUUAAAGGAAUUGGCGGGGGAGCAC
Molecule: ribosomal RNA, 791 nt
Filed under: uncultured archaeon
Lineage: Archaea
Description: bacterial SSU rRNA
Rfam family: Archaeal small subunit ribosomal RNA
Source: RNAcentral